This 942-nucleotide long non-coding RNA is filed under the name Crocodylus porosus (Australian saltwater crocodile). RNAcentral's name for it is "lncRNA (ENSCPRG00005008371.1)". Lineage: Eukaryota; Metazoa; Chordata; Crocodylia; Crocodylidae. The record is from RNAcentral.
CAGGGCGCAUGCUCCGCUCGCUUUUUAUGAAUGGGGGGCCGGAAAGGAGCGCGUCGCGGGCUGCGAAGGUUGGAGCCGGCUGCGGCUUUUUAUGAAUGGAGGCAGGCGGCAGCUGCGCGCGCACCGUCCCCAGCCGGGCCCGAGAAAGUGGCUUCUGCAGGAGCCUCUCAUCAGACUGGUGCCUCGUAUGAGUGGCCCCUAAUUGAAGCAGUAUCAGCUCUGUGCACAUUUCGUCCAUUUUCCCUCUCACUUGUCUUCUUGCACAGUGGCUGUUGACCCCGCUUAGUGUUUCUGGAUAUUGCACAUCGCUGAGGCAGGGCCUGUUUUGUCGGGGAGCUCCCUUCCGGUAGAAAUAACAGAACUUGUGAAACCUAGUGCAAGAUUGAUCGUUUCAGUUUGGAAACUGAAGGUAGAAGAGCAGAUAUUGAGCGAGUGCUCGGUCACUUGGGGCUGCCUUCUGAGAUUCUGGGGCGAAUUCACAGAGCUGAGUACUGGGGGACACAACUCACCUGGACUUUUGCACAUCCUCAGAGGUGUUCAGAUUCUUAUCUCCAAUCCUGAUGCGAGUGAAGAAAUGUGACCCUCCUCCUGUUCAAGUAUCACACAGGGCUCAAUCGUGACACUAGAACUAUUGCUGCUUCUGUUCCCAAGGGUGAUGCAGUUUCGAGUAUUGUUAGUACUGUUUAGGAUUACUUUUCCUAAUCCUAAUCCUUACAACAGACUACAAGAUGCUAUUUGAAAUGGACAGUGUGUGCCCAGCUUUAAGUAAAGAUUUAAUUUCUGGGAUCACUAGUGAUUACUGGUUAAUGUUUGUACAGCACAGUGAGAGAGAUCCUCAGGCAAGUGCCAAGUACAGGUACUCCUACACUUGUGUGAGGGAGGCACACUAAGGGUCCACGUUUCUGACAGCGCUGUCACACAGUCAAGGAGGAAGUGCCUGAG